GAUGAAGAACGUAGCGAAAUGCGAUAAGUAAUGUGAAUUGCAGAAUUCAGUGAAUCAUCGAAUCUUUGAACGCACCUUGCACCCUUUGGAAUUCCAAAGGGUAUGCUCGUUUGAGUGUCAUUGUACUCUCACACUCUCCGAUCCUUUGGAUUUGGGGAGCGGUGGACUUGGGUGUUUGCUGCUUUCAUUGUGGCUCACCUCAAAUGGAUUCGUGCAACUCCUGGUUGGACAUAGUACGGCGUGAUAAGUGUCUUCGCCGGCACCUCACUAGAGGGUGGCUGACCGGGAGCUCUGUGCUUCAAACCGUCUUCGGACAACAACUGACAACUUGACCUCAAAUCGAGUAGGACCACCCGCUGAACUUAAGCAUAUCAAUAAGCGGAGGA
RNAcentral lists this unclassified non-coding RNA (386 nucleotides) under soil metagenome. RNAcentral describes it as "partial contains 5.8S ribosomal RNA, internal transcribed spacer 2, and large subunit ribosomal RNA". The stretch from base 1 to 120 matches the Rfam family "5.8S ribosomal RNA", at positions 35 to 154 of the family's 154-position model. The record is from RNAcentral.